Molecule: ribosomal RNA, 301 nt
Filed under: uncultured bacterium
Lineage: Bacteria
Description: partial 16S ribosomal RNA
Rfam family: Bacterial small subunit ribosomal RNA
Source: RNAcentral
CAGCAGCCACGGUAAUACAGAGGGUGCGAGCGUUAAUCGGAUUUACUGGGCGUAAAGCGUGCGUAGGCGGCUAAUUGAGUCGGAUGUGAAAUCCCCGAGCUUAACUUAGGAAUUGCAUUCGAUACUGGGAAGCUAGAGUAUGGGAGAGGAUGGUAGAAUUCCAGGUGUAGCGGUGAAAUGCGUAGAGAUCUGGAGGAAUACCGAUGGCGAAGGCAGCCAUCUGGCCUAAUACUGACGCUGAGGUACGAAAGCAUGGGGAGCAAACAGGAUUAGAUACCCGAGUAGUCCCUGUCUCUUAUAC